GGAUAUAUAGCUCAGUGGUAGAGCACAUGCUUAGCAUGCAGGAGGUCCUGGGUUCAAUCCUCAGCAUCUCCA
Molecule: transfer RNA, 72 nt
Filed under: Camelus bactrianus (Bactrian camel)
Lineage: Eukaryota; Metazoa; Chordata; Mammalia; Artiodactyla; Camelidae
Also listed under: 2 other names
Rfam family: tRNA
About the family: Transfer RNA (tRNA) molecules are approximately 80 nucleotides in length. Their secondary structure includes four short double-helical elements and three loops (D, anti-codon, and T loops).
Source: Rfam by way of RNAcentral